CCAACUGCAAAUAUUCUAAUCUACAUCAUCUCUCCACGGUUCCACGACGAGUCCACAAAAUUGCAGAUUCUCCUCGCUGCAAAAUUCGAUCGGCGUCGGGCGUUGACAAAUCUGAAGUCACGCAUUCUCCGGUCUAUUUUCGAAAUCAUUGGUAAGUAAUUUAUUUUCCCCAAAAUCCGUCGGCAACAAGAUGGAACGGAAUGCUGCUUCUGUAAUGUUAUUAAUUCAAUUUUUUGUUUUGGGUGAGAUUCAACAUGGGUAUUAAUUCGUUUUCUGUUAUUAUUUCAUUUUCUACGAGUAUCAAACCAUGUGAUCUGUCAUAUUCUAUGUUAAUGUCACCGACUCACCAAACGUGGAAGAUAUGUGAUUUAUUUGUGUAAAAUCAUGCUUUAAUCUGUUGGGUUGUUAUGUUGAUCUUUCACUCGAAUUGAUUUGUGGUGAAUGGUUUAAUUUCAACACAACCUCGAUCUAAGAUUCUGUCAGCCUUAUCUCCAUUAUCUUCUUGUGCAGGGUCUUCCUUGUUUAACUAUUUUUGGGUGAUUGAAAUUCUGAAAUUCAUCCAUUAAUGAUUAAUCUUGCCAUCCAUGUUUAACUGUUCAAGUAAUCUAACAGCAAGUGAAGUAAGCAAUUGUUCUAAGGUGAGCAAUUUUUGAGUACUUUUAAUCCUUUAUUAUAAGGUG
This 680-nucleotide long non-coding RNA is filed under the name Olea europaea (common olive). RNAcentral's name for it is "long non-coding RNA (OEUR_LNC009735)". Lineage: Eukaryota; Viridiplantae; Streptophyta; Magnoliopsida; Lamiales; Oleaceae. The record is from RNAcentral.